GACGAACGCUGGCGGCGUGCCUAAUACAUGCAAGUAGAACGCUGAAGGAGGAGCUUGCUUCUCCGGAUGAGUUGCGAACGGGUGAGUAACGCGUAGGUAACCUGCCUGGUAGCGGGGGAUAACUAUUGGAAACGAUAGCUAAUACCGCAUAAGAGUAGAUGUCGCAUGACAUUUGCUUAAAAGGUGCAGCUGCACCACUACCAGAUGGACCUGCGUUGUAUUAGCUAGUUGGUGAGGUAACGGCUCACCAAGGCAACGAUACAUAGCCGACCUGAGAGGGUGAUCGGCCACACUGGGACUGAGACACGGCCCAGACUCCUACGGGAGGCAGCAGUAGGGAAUCUUCGGCAAUGGACGGAAGUCUGACCGAGCAACGCCGCGUGAGUGAAGAAGGUUUUCGGAUCGUAAAGCUCUGUUGUAAGAGAAGAACGAGUGUGAGAGUGGAAAGUUCACACUGUGACGGUAUCUUACCAGAAAGGGACGGCUAACUACGUG
RNAcentral lists this ribosomal RNA (495 nucleotides) under uncultured bacterium. Its description in RNAcentral is "partial 16S ribosomal RNA". It matches the Rfam family "Bacterial small subunit ribosomal RNA", at positions 28 to 507 of the family's 1533-position model. The record is from RNAcentral.